UAUCUAUGUUUUAGGUAUAGGAU
Molecule: non-coding RNA, 23 nt
Filed under: Arabidopsis thaliana (thale cress)
Lineage: Eukaryota; Viridiplantae; Streptophyta; Magnoliopsida; Brassicales; Brassicaceae
Source: RNAcentral